AGUGAGUCAGGCACAAAAUCCGAAUCAUGCGCUCUCCUUGUUUUUGUUGAUACAGAAUGGAAAGAAUAAUGGGCUAGUUUUUUUAACGAUCAUCUUCAAGAUCGAAUACAAUUGGUCCGCUGUCUGCUGCAAAGGUUAUGACUGUAGGCGCAAAUUAUUUUCUCGAAAACCAAAACACGGGCCAAUGGUCAGGGGAGGUCACUGCCUCUCUCUGUGUGCCAGUAACAGACACAGACGGUUAACAACCGGGCACAGCAUCAAAGAGCCAAGCAGCUGGAGGUGGAGAGAAAACACCCUCGUACACAGCAUCGCCUCGCCUCUCCUCGCCUCUCCUCGCCUCUCAUCUCUGCGCUCGUGUGAGAGAUGAUCAAAUCAUCAUAUGGAAAAAUCCAAUGUGAUCUAAGCAAGAGGCAGAAAGGUCACAGGGAGUCAGUAAAAUGGAUGAAGGCUAAUGAUUAUCUCAACCUUUAUCUAAUCAAUAAUCAUUUAUCCCACAAUAUUAUGGACACUAUAUCCCAUUUUCCAUGAACCCAGGCAGGAUGACAGAGGCUGUAUUGUUUCCUAAGGCAGCUUUAUGGCAGGGUAUGUCUGAAGGGCAGUUUUAAGGUGUGCUCUCAACUGCUCUGAACCUGUUAAGACACUCUUACGUAGUCUGGACUUAGGCGAUAAUACAUUUUUUGAAAUAUUGAGUGUUUGAAACUCUGCGACCGGAAUGGUAUAGAAUAAUAAUCGAGCAAUUUCGAAAUGGCCUACAGUUUUAGCUCCAUCAAACAGUAAAUGUGGGUUUAAUGAUAUAUCAUCACAUUACACAAAUAGUUUUUUUGUUUUUUGUGGGAAUAUAAUACCUUAGAUAAUUUGUUAAAGCUGAAAACAAAUUUAUGUUCUUUGGUUUCUUAUUGUCUUACGAUCACAAAAACACACAUCUUCCUCUAUUAGCCUUGGUCUCUAAGGAGUUUGUACUUGCUACCGUUAUGCUGCAGUAAUUUGUACCGUUAUGGUCCAUUUGGAGUGACCCCAUCCUCUGUGACUGGGAGUGUGUCUCCUGUGUCUGUAUGCUCAGUGAUGCCAUCUUCAUCCUAACCUUAUUGCUUUUAAUGACUCCCUCUUUCCUUUCAUGAAUUCUUUAUCGAUUCCUUCUGACGUCUGGUGAAUUAAUUUUCAA
Molecule: long non-coding RNA, 1162 nt
Organism: Oncorhynchus masou masou (cherry salmon)
Lineage: Eukaryota; Metazoa; Chordata; Actinopteri; Salmoniformes; Salmonidae
Exons: 4
Source: RefSeq, a predicted model, not a curated record